RNAcentral lists this ribosomal RNA (465 nucleotides) under uncultured bacterium. Its description in RNAcentral is "partial 16S ribosomal RNA". It matches the Rfam family "Bacterial small subunit ribosomal RNA", at positions 28 to 507 of the family's 1533-position model. The record is from RNAcentral.
GACGAACGCUGGCGGCGUGCUUAACACAUGCAAGUCGAACGGAAAGGCCCCUUCGGGGGUACUCGAGUGGCGAACAGGUGAGUAACACGUGAGUAACCUGCCCUUGACUUCGGGAUAACUCCAGGAAACUGGGGCUAAUACCGGAUAGGAAUCCUUGCUGCAUGGUGGGGGUUGGAAAGCUUCGGCGGUUUUGGAUGGACUCGCGGCCUAUCAGCUUGUUGGUGGGGUAGUGGCUUACCAAGGCUUUGACGGGUAGCCGGCCUGAGAGGGCGACCGGCCACAUUGGGACUGAGAUACGGCCCAGACUCCUACGGGAGGCAGCAGUGGGGAAGAUUGCACAAGGGGCGGAAGCCUGAUGCAGCAACGCCGCGGGCGGGAUGACGGCCUUCGGGUUGUAAACCGCUUUCAGCAGGGGCGAAGCUUGUGGUGACGGUACCUGCAGAAGAAGCACCGGCUAACUACGUG